Molecule: ribosomal RNA, 1129 nt
Filed under: Pseudomonas aeruginosa
Lineage: Bacteria; Pseudomonadati; Pseudomonadota; Gammaproteobacteria; Pseudomonadales; Pseudomonadaceae
Description: bacterial SSU rRNA
Rfam family: Bacterial small subunit ribosomal RNA
Source: RNAcentral
CGUGGCCGGCCAGCCUUAACACAUGCAAGUCGAGCGGAUGAAGGGAGCUUGCUCCUGGAUUCAGCGGCGGACGGGUGAGUAAUGCCUAGGAAUCUGCCUGGUAGUGGGGGAUAACGUCCGGAAACGGGCGCUAAUACCGCAUACGUCCUGAGGGAGAAAGUGGGGGAUCUUCGGACCUCACGCUAUCAGAUGAGCCUAGGUCGGAUUAGCUAGUUGGUGGGGUAAAGGCCUACCAAGGCGACGAUCCGUAACUGGUCUGAGAGGAUGAUCAGUCACACUGGAACUGAGACACGGUCCAGACUCCUACGGGAGGCAGCAGUGGGGAAUAUUGGACAAUGGGCGAAAGCCUGAUCCAGCCAUGCCGCGUGUGUGAAGAAGGUCUUCGGAUUGUAAAGCACUUUAAGUUGGGAGGAAGGGCAGUAAGUUAAUACCUUGCUGUUUUGACGUUACCAACAGAAUAAGCACCGGCUAACUUCGUGCCAGCAGCCGCGGUAAUACGAAGGGUGCAAGCGUUAAUCGGAAUUACUGGGCGUAAAGCGCGCGUAGGUGGUUCAGCAAGUUGGAUGUGAAAUCCCCGGGCUCAACCUGGGAACUGCAUCCAAAACUACUGAGCUAGAGUACGGUAGAGGGUGGUGGAAUUUCCUGUGUAGCGGUGAAAUGCGUAGAUAUAGGAAGGAACACCAGUGGCGAAGGCGACCACCUGGACUGAUACUGACACUGAGGUGCGAAAGCGUGGGGAGCAAACAGGAUUAGAUACCCUGGUAGUCCACGCCGUAACGAUGUCGACUAGCCGUUGGGAUCCUUGAGAUCUUAGUGGCGCAGCUAACGCGAUAAGUCGACCGCCUGGGGAGUACGGCCGCAAGGUUAAAACUCAAAUGAAUUGACGGGGGCCCGCACAAGCGGUGGAGCAUGUGGUUUAAUUCGAGCACGCGAAGACCUUACCUGGCCUUGACAUGCUGAGAACUUUCCAGAGAUGGAUUGGUGCCUUCUGGAACUCAGACCAGGUGCUGCAUGGCUGUCGUCAGCUCGUGUCCUGAGAUGUUGGGUAGUCCCGAAACGAGCGCAAUCCUCGUUCUUAGUACCAGCCACCUCGGGUGGCCACUUCUAGGAGACGUGCCGUGGACAAAAC